This 547-nucleotide ribosomal RNA is filed under the name Scinax camposseabrai. RNAcentral describes it as "partial large subunit ribosomal RNA". It matches the Rfam family "Bacterial large subunit ribosomal RNA", at positions 1907 to 2603 of the family's 2925-position model. The record is from RNAcentral. Lineage: Eukaryota; Metazoa; Chordata; Amphibia; Anura; Hylidae.
UGCCAGUGACACUAGUUCAACGGCCGCGGUAUCCUAACCGUGCGAAGGUAGCGUAAUCACUUGUUCUUUAAAUGAGGACUAGUAUGAAUGGCAUCACGAGGGCUAUACUGUCUCCUUUUUCUAAUCAGUGAAACUAAUCUUCCCGUGAAGAAGCGGGAAUUCACCUAUAAGACGAGAAGACCCUAUGGAGCUUUAAAUUUUUCUUCAACUGCCCUACUCCUUCUAAAGUUUACACUUUUCACAACAACUUCGGCAUUAUGAGGAUAAAUUUUAGGUUGGGGUGACCGCGGAGCAUAGUAAAACCUCCACACUGAACCGAGCCUAUAAACUCUGAGCAAAGGACAACAACCCAAUGCACUAACAUAUUAACAUUCAUUGACCCAAUAAUUUUGAUCAACGAACCAAGUUACCCUAGGGAUAACAGCGCAAUCUGCUUCAAGAGUUCAUAUCGACAAGCAGGCUUACGACCUCGAUGUUGGAUCAGGGUAUCCCAGUGGUGCAGCCGCUACUAAUGGUUCGUUUGUUCAACGAUUAAAACCCUACGUGA